AGUAAGACAGACGAUCGCGGCUCAAUUUUGAGGUGAGGAAAGUCCGAGCAUCGCAGGGCAGGGUGCCGGGUAACGCCCGGUGAAGGCGACUUCAAGGAUAGUGCAACAGAGAUAUACCGCCCGAUUUUUCGGGUAAGGAUGGAAAGGCGAGGUAAGAGCUCACCAACGGCAUGGCGACUUGUCCGUUCUGUAAACCCCACCCGGUGCAAGAUUGGAAUGGGAGCAUGUAAUAGCGGCCCGCUACGCUCCUGAUAAUCGCUUGAGCGCUCCGGCAACGGUGCGCGUAGAUAGAUGAUCGUCCUUAGACAGAACUCGGCUUACGGCUUG
Molecule: RNase P RNA, 327 nt
Filed under: bovine gut metagenome
Description: Bacterial RNase P class A
Rfam family: Bacterial RNase P class A
About the family: Ribonuclease P (RNase P) is a ubiquitous endoribonuclease, found in archaea, bacteria and eukarya as well as chloroplasts and mitochondria. Its best characterised activity is the generation of mature 5'-ends of tRNAs by cleaving the 5'-leader elements of precursor-tRNAs.
Source: RNAcentral